CAGAGAGCGGGGAGCAUUCACACAUGAACAAGUCUUCCUCUGAGAACUGGAAGCUGAAGCCUUCAUCAGAUAAAUGGCGUGCAUACAGGAGUAAGGAGCUGCCUGGAUCCAGAGGGCUGUGAGGACUGCAGCACAGAGCUGCCUGUGGAUACGUUUGCUGAGCCAUUUCAGGGGCAGGGAGGAGAGCUGAACUGAAUAAAAGCAGUCCCAUCUCUCAGAAGAACAUCUGGGUUUGAACAGUUUGGAACAGCCAGAGGUACCAGUAAAGGAGGCAGCGGCUGGCAGUGCCUCAUGGUUUCCUAACACCACUUCUCUGGGAUACAGGCACAGGACUGUGGGGCAAGAGGAACAGAGGCAGGACAGGAGGAGAAGCAGCGAGGGACGCCCAGGGAAAGCAGUGAUAAGGAGAGCUGCUGUGCUGGGGUGGUGCAUCCACACUUGCUCCUUGGCAGCUUCUGAUGAGUGCAGGAAAACAGCAAUUGUAGCAUGUGGCUCUGCUCCACCUCUGAACGCCUUUAUGCUAAGAAGAGGUGAGUGCUGAGUUCUCUUUUUC
Molecule: long non-coding RNA, 553 nt
Filed under: Gallus gallus (chicken)
Lineage: Eukaryota; Metazoa; Chordata; Aves; Galliformes; Phasianidae
Description: long non-coding RNA NONGGAT008030
Source: RNAcentral